This 253-nucleotide ribosomal RNA is filed under the name uncultured bacterium. Its description in RNAcentral is "partial 16S ribosomal RNA". It matches the Rfam family "Bacterial small subunit ribosomal RNA", at positions 524 to 776 of the family's 1533-position model. The record is from RNAcentral.
UACGUAGGGGGCUAGCGUUGUUCGGAAUCACUGGGCGUAAAGGGCGCGUAGGCGGCUUUAUAAGUCGGGGGUGAAAGCCUGUGGCUCAACCACAGAAUUGCCUUCGAUACUGUAGAGCUUGAGACCGGAAGAGGUAAGUGGAACUGCGAGUGUAGAGGUGAAAUUCGUAGAUAUUCGCAAGAACACCAGUGGCGAAGGCGGCUUACUGGUCCGGUUCUGACGCUGAGGCGCGAAAGCGUGGGGAGCAAACAGG